This is a long non-coding RNA of Oncorhynchus tshawytscha (Chinook salmon), 1232 nucleotides long. NCBI's taxonomy places the organism in Eukaryota, Metazoa, Chordata, Actinopteri, Salmoniformes, Salmonidae. The record is from Ensembl.
GUGGUAUCCUACCUCUAAAUACCAGUGUAGUAUAAUCGUGGUAUCCUACCUCUAAAUACCAGUGUAGUAUAAUCUUGGUAUCCUACCUCUAAAAUAAAGACUAUAUCAGAAUAUAUCACUUAUUGGAAAGAAAUACAUUCUGAUGAUAAACAAGUUAUAAUAUGUUGCUAAUAGUUGCAGUAAUUAUCUAGUAAUACGUGAUAACCUCUAAAACCAGCCUAUUGUUCAGUCUGGAGAGCCCAUUGACCAAUAGGAAUAUAUCACAUAUUUACCAGGAAUUUAUAUCAGGGAUUUUUGACCAAAUGAGGCACAGUCACCACAACGAAACCUUCUAUUGUCUUAUCAACAAUCAUUACCAGACAGUGGGUGUUGGUUAGGGUUAGGUUAGAUACGGGUUACGAUAGGUUAGGGUUAGGCUACAGUGGAGUUAGGGUUAGGGAUAGGUUAGGGUUAGGAUAGAGUGGGGUUAGGGAUAUGUUAGGGUUAGGAAUAGGUUAGGGUUAGGAUAGAGUGGGGUUAGGGAUAGGUUAGGGUUAGGAUAGAGUGGGGUUAGGGAUAGGUUAGGGUUAGGAUAGAGUGGGGUUAGGGAUAGGUUAGGGUUAGGAUAGAGUGGGGUUAGGGAUAAGUUAGGGUUAGGGAUAGGUUGGGUUAGGGAUAGGUCAGGUUAGAGAUAGGUUGGGUUAGGGAUAGGUCAGGUUGGGGAUAGGUUGGGUUAGGGUUAGGUUAGGGUUAGGCUAGAGUGGGGUUAGGGAUAUGUUAGGGUUAGGCUAGAGUGGGGUUAGGUUAGGGAUAGGUUGGGUUAGGCUACAGUGGGGUUAGGGAUAGGUUGGGUUAGGCUAGAGUGGGGUUAGGGAUAGGUUAGGGUUAGGCUAGAGUGGGGUUAGGGAUCGGUUAGGGUUAGGCUAGAGUGGGGUUAGGGAUUAGGUUAGGGACAGGUUAGGGAUAGGUUAGGGAUAGGGACAGGUUAGGGAUAGUUUGGGGUUAGGGAUAGGUUAGGGAUAGGUUGGGGUUAGGGAUAGGUUGGGGUUAGGGAUAGGUUAGGUUGGGGUUAGGGAUAGGUUGGGGUUAGGGAUGGGUUAGGGAUCGGUUGGGGUUAGGCUAGAACUAGCCUCGGCUGAACUUAGGGUUAGGUUAGGCUGAACUAGACUUAGCAUGCUGGGAGACAGAGGGAUGGAAAGAGCCCUCAUCAAACCUUCAUCAAGACCCGUCAUCAAGACCCGCAUCAAGCCCCC